Dama dama (fallow deer) is the source of this 531-nucleotide long non-coding RNA. RefSeq lists it as uncharacterized. Lineage: Eukaryota; Metazoa; Chordata; Mammalia; Artiodactyla; Cervidae. The transcript has 3 exons. The record is from RefSeq and is a predicted model, not a curated record.
ACGUGUAAGUUUUGUUUUGUUGGGGGUUCUGUUUGUUUGUUCUUUCAUUGGAGUACUUUCUUCUUUCCCUUUUCUCUCUCAUUUUCAUUCUAGCUUUCCCUUGGUGAGCGCCAAGUUCACAAAAUGCAGAAUCCGAGUCAGACGGUCCUGGACGGGGACACCCUCGCCCUGGACCUGUCUCUGAGGACCUACUUUCCUUGGCUUUCAGCUAAGAAUCUGACUGGAAUAAAACCAAUUCACUCCCUCACUUCAAGAGUGAAUAGCAGCCAGGCCCUCGGUGGGUGGCAGCGAGACCCCCGGCUGGCCUGGGGAGGGAGAGAGGACCCCUCCUACUUACGGAGAGUAAAUGGGGCAAAAGACGACGACUGGCGACUUUAGCCUGAAGCUCAAGUUCGGUGAACAGAAGCCCCUCUCGAAGUGAACCAGGAAGGCGGGAAAGCGAGGCUUUCGGUCUUCGUUCAUCGGUGGCUUCUGCACUGCAACGACCUAGUGCAGGUUUUCAUGUUUAACAGAACACCUUUUCCUUUAAAA